GUUGUAUAGUCAAGUAAUUAAGUGCAUGUGGUGGAUGCCUUGGCAGUCAGAGGCGAUGAAAGACGUGAUAGCCUGCGAAAAGCUCCGGGGAGGCGGCAAAUAUCCUUUGAUCCGGAGAUGUCUGAAUGGGGGAACCCACCUACUUUAAGGUAGGUAUUGCAACAUGAAUACAUAGUGUUGCAAGGCGAACGAGGGGAAGUGAAACAUCUCAGUACCCUUAGGAAAAGAAAUCAAUUGAGAUUCCCUCAGUAGCGGCGAGCGAACGGGGAUCAGCCCAUUAAGUUAUGUGUGUUUUAGUGGAACGCUCUGGGAAGUGCGAACGUAGAGGGUGAUAUUCCCGUACACGAAAGGGCACACAUAAUGAUGACGAGUAGGGCGAGGCACGUGAAACCUUGUCUGAAUAUGGGGGGACCAUCCUCCAAGGCUAAAUACUCCUGACUGACCGAUAGUGAACCAGUACCGUGAGGGAAAGGCGAAAAGAACCCCUGUGAGGGGAGUGAAAUAGAUCCUGAAACCGCAUGCAUACAAGCAGUGGGAGCACCUUCGUGGUGUGACUGCGUACCUUUUGUAUAAUGGGUCAGCGACUUAUAUUCAGUAGCAAGGUUAACCGUAUAGGGGAGCCGUAGAGAAAUCGAGUCUUAAUAGGGCGUUUAGUUGCUGGGUAUAGACCCGAAACCAGGCGAUCUAUCCAUGAGCAGGUUGAAGGUUGGGUAACACUAACUGGAGGACCGAACCCACUGUCGUUGAAAAGCCAGGGGAUGACUUGUGGAUAGGGGUGAAAGGCUAAUCAAGCCUGGUGAUAGCUGGUUCUCCCCGAAAGCUAUUUAGGUAGCGCCUCGGACGAAUACCAUAGGGGGUAGAGCACUGUUUCGGCUAGGGGGUCAUCCCGACUUACCAAACCGAUGCAAACUCCGAAUACCUAUGAGUACUAUCCGGGAGACAGACUGCGGGUGCUAACGUCCGUAGUCAAGAGGAAAACAAUCCAGACCGCCAGCUAAGGCCCCAAAAUCAUAGUUAAGUGGGAAACGAUGUGGGAAGGCAUAGACAGCUAGGAGGUUGGCUUAGAAGCAGCCACCCUUUAAAGAAAGCGUAAUAGCUCACUAGUCGAGUCGGCCUGCGCGGAAGAUGUAACGGGGCUAAAACUAUGUGCCGAAGCUGCGGAUNNUGCUGGAGGUAUCAGAAGUGCGAAUGCUGACGUGAGUAACGACAAAACGGGUGAAAAACCCGUUCGCCGAAAGACCAAGGGUUCCAGUCCAACGUUAAUCGGGGCUGGGUGAGUCGACCCCUAAGGCGAGGCCGAAAGGCGUAGUCGAUGGGAAAAUGGUUAAUAUUCCAUUACUUCUGUGUAAUGCGAUGAGAGGACGGAGAAGGCUAAAUCAGCCUGGCGUUGGUUGUCCAGGUGAAAGGAUGUAGGCAUGUAUCUUAGGCAAAUCCGGGGUACUCUAUGCUGAGAUCUGAUAGCAAGCUGUACUUGUACAGCGAAGUGGUUGAUGCCAUGCUUCCAGGAAAAGUCUCUAAGCUUCAGUUACACAGGAAUCGUACCCGAAACCGACACAGGUGGUCAGGUCGAGUAGACCAAGGCGCUUGAGAGAACUCUGCUGAAGGAACUAGGCAAAAUGGUACCGUAACUUCGGGAGAAGGUACGCUGUUGUUGGUGAUGGAACUCGCUUCCUGAGCUGACGACAGCCGCAGAAACCAGGCCGCUGCAACUGUUUAUUAAAAACAUAGCACUCUGCAAACACGAAAGUGGACGUAUAGGGUGUGAUGCCUGCCCGGUGCUGGAAGGUUAAUUGAUGGGGUUAGCGUAAGCGAAGCUCUUGAUCGAAGCCCCAGUAAACGGCGGCCGUAACUAUAACGGUCCUAAGGUAGCGAAAUUCCUUGUCGGGUAAGUUCCGACCUGCACGAAUGGCAUAAUGAUGGCGGCGCUGUCUCCAGCAGAGGCUCAGUGAAAUCGAAAUCGCUGUGAAGAUGCAGUGUACCCGCGGCUAGACGGAAAGACCCCGUGAACCUUUACUGCAGCUUGACACUGAACUUUGACCUUACUUGUGUAGGAUAGGUGGGAGGCUUUGAAGCUGGAACGCUAGUUCCAGUGGAGCCGUCCUUGAAAUACCACCCUGGUAAUGUUGAGGUUCUAACUCUGUCCCGUGAUCCGGGACGAGGACCGUGUCUGGUGGGUAGUUUGACUGGGGCGGUCUCCUCCUAAAGAGUAACGGAGGAGUACGAAGGUGCGCUCAGCGUGGUCGGAAAUCACGCGUAGAGUAUAAAGGCAAAAGCGCGCUUAACUGCGAGACCCACAAGUCGAGCAGGUACGAAAGUAGGUCUUAGUGAUCCGGUGGUUCUGUAUGGAAGGGCCAUCGCUCAACGGAUAAAAGGUACUCUGGGGAUAACAGGCUGAUACCGCCCAAGAGUUCAUAUCGACGGCGGUGUUUGGCACCUCGAUGUCGGCUCAUCUCAUCCUGGGGCUGAAGCAGGUCCCAAGGGUAUGGCUGUUCGCCAUUUAAAGAGGUACGCGAGCUGGGUUUAGAACGUCGUGAGACAGUUCGGUCCCUAUCUACCGUGGGCGCUGGAAAUUUGAGAGGAUCUGCUCCUAGUACGAGAGGACCAGAGUGGACGAACCUCUGGUGUACCGGUUGUGACGCCAGUCGCAUCGCCGGGUAGCUAUGUUCGGAAGGGAUAACCGCUGAAAGCAUCUAAGCGGGAAGCCUACCUCAAGAUAAGAUUUCCCUAGGACUUUAUGUCCUCUAAAGAGCCGUUCGAGACUAGGACGUUGAUAGGUUGGAUGUGGAAGCAUAGUGAUAUGUGAAGCUGACCAAUACUAAUUGCUCGUGAGGCUUGACUAUACAACACCCAAGCAGUUG
RNAcentral lists this ribosomal RNA (2858 nucleotides) under Acinetobacter baumannii. RNAcentral describes it as "bacterial LSU rRNA". It matches the Rfam family "Bacterial large subunit ribosomal RNA". Lineage: Bacteria; Pseudomonadati; Pseudomonadota; Gammaproteobacteria; Moraxellales; Moraxellaceae. The record is from RNAcentral.